AGCGCGGGGCAACCUGGCGGCGAGUGGCGAACGGGUGAGUAAUAUAUCGGAACGUACCCAAGAGUGGGGGAUAACGUAGCGAAAGUUACGCUAAUACCGCAUACGAUCUAAGGAUGAAAGCAGGGGACCGCAAGGCCUUGUGCUCCUGGAGCGGCCGAUAUCUGAUUAGCUAGUUGGUAGGGUAAAGGCCUACCAAGGCGACGAUCAGUAGCUGGUCUGAGAGGACGACCAGCCACACUGGAACUGAGACACGGUCCAGACUCCUACGGGAGGCAGCAGUGGGGAAUUUUGGACAAUGGGCGCAAGCCUGAUCCAGCAAUGCCGCGUGAGUGAAGAAGGCCUUCGGGUUGUAAAGCUCUUUUGUCAGGGAAGAAACGGUGGAGGCUAAUAUCCUUUGCUAAUGACGGUACCUGAAGAAUAAGCACCGGCUAACUACGUGCCAGCAGCCGCGGUAAUACGUAGGGUGCAAGCGUUAAUCGGAAUUACUGGGCGUAAAGCGUGCGCAGGCGGUUUUGUAAGUCUGUCGUGAAAGCCCCGGGCUCAACCUGGGAAUUGCGAUGGAGACUGCAAGGCUUGAAUCUGGCAGAGGGGGGUAGAAUUCCACGUGUAGCAGUGAAAUGCGUAGAGAUGUGGAGGAACACCGAUGGCGAAGGCAGCCCCCUGGGUCAAGAUUGACGCUCAUGCACGAAAGCGUGGGGAGCAAACAGGAUUAGAUACCCUGGUAGUCCACGCCCUAAACGAUGUCUACUAGUUGUCGGGUUUUAAUUAACUUGGUAACGCAGCUAACGCGUGAAGUAGACCGCCUGGGGAGUACGGUCGCAAGAUUAAAACUCAAAGGAAUUGACGGGGAC
Molecule: ribosomal RNA, 851 nt
Filed under: Massilia niabensis
Lineage: Bacteria; Pseudomonadati; Pseudomonadota; Betaproteobacteria; Burkholderiales; Oxalobacteraceae
Description: bacterial SSU rRNA
Rfam family: Bacterial small subunit ribosomal RNA
Source: RNAcentral